RNAcentral lists this ribosomal RNA (465 nucleotides) under Vreelandella stevensii. RNAcentral's name for it is "partial 16S ribosomal RNA". It matches the Rfam family "Bacterial small subunit ribosomal RNA", at positions 338 to 795 of the family's 1533-position model. The record is from RNAcentral. Lineage: Bacteria; Pseudomonadati; Pseudomonadota; Gammaproteobacteria; Oceanospirillales; Halomonadaceae.
CCUACGGGGGGCAGCAGUGGGGAUUAUUGGACAAUGGGGGGAACCCUGAUCCAGCCAUGCCGCGUGUGUGAAGAAGGCCCUCGGGUUGUAAAGCACUUUCAGUGAGGAAGAACGCCUGGUGGUUAAUACCCAUCAGGAAAGACAUCACUCACAGAAGAAGCACCGGCUAACUCCGUGCCAGCAGCCGCGGUAAUACGGAGGGUGCGAGCGUUAAUCGGAAUUACUGGGCGUAAAGCGCGCGUAGGUGGCUUGAUAAGCCGGUUGUGAAAGCCCCGGGCUCAACCUGGGAACGGCAUCCGGAACUGUCAAGCUAGAGUGCAGGAGAGGAAGGUAGAAUUCCCGGUGUAGCGGUGAAAUGCGUAGAGAUCGGGAGGAAUACCAGUGGCGAAGGCGGCCUUCUGGACUGACACUGACACUGAGGUGCGAAAGCGUGGGUAGCAAACAGGAUUAGAUACCCGUGUAGUC